UUUCCGUAGGUGAACCUGCGGAAGGAUCAUUACAGAGUUCACGCCCUCACGGGUAGUUCUCCCACCCUUGAAUAUUUAUACCUUAGUUGCUUUGGCGGGCCGUGGAAACACCAUGGGCUCCGGCUUAUGCGUGCCUGCCAGAGGAAACAAAAUCCGUUUUUAGUGAUGUCUGAGUACUAUAUAAUAGUUAAAACUUUCAACAACGGAUCUCUUGGCUCUC
Molecule: unclassified non-coding RNA, 220 nt
Filed under: plant metagenome
Description: partial contains small subunit ribosomal RNA, internal transcribed spacer 1, and 5.8S ribosomal RNA
Source: RNAcentral